Papaver somniferum (opium poppy) is the source of this 1764-nucleotide long non-coding RNA. RefSeq lists it as uncharacterized. The record is from RefSeq and is a predicted model, not a curated record. The transcript has 2 exons. Lineage: Eukaryota; Viridiplantae; Streptophyta; Magnoliopsida; Ranunculales; Papaveraceae.
UCAACGAAUCCUGAAAAAGCUUCAAGAGAACUUGGAGAUGAGAUGAUUCUUCUUGUAAUAGCUGAUACUGAGGGGAAGCAAUUGAAUGGUGCACCUCUAAGUCUUUGAUUGACAAGUCUUGAAGGAUACAAAAUCUCAUUCAUUUGCCUCUUCUCAGCAUCGGUUAUUAUUGGGUUAGUUUUAUGAUGGACGGAUUUUUAGAUCCGGUUUUAAUGAUCUCCACGGCGACUGGUUAGAAUGAUGCUAGCUAAUCCGGUAGUUUUCUAUUCAAAUUCUUGGGGACCAUGUGAAGGUAGCAGCAGGUUAUGGAUCCCCCAGUGCCUGUUGAGUGGAUUCAAAGUUGCAACCUAUAUAAGAAGCAAACCCACAGUUGAACUGAUGCACCCCUCUUAUAAAAUGAUGAUCUGAAAUUUGAGAUUUGGUUUUUGUUUGGAUUGUUAGUUCUCAUAGUCUGCACGUGUUUAUUGAAAGUUGAUACACAUUUUGAAACUUCUGAUCCAUGAAUUGUUUUCUAGAAAUGAAUUGUUAAAUUUGCCAAAAUUCAUAUGAGAUUCUCAAAGGGUAAUUUUUCAUAGUACUUGAACUAACAUUCCCAAGUGAAUACCACAUCUUGAAACCUUUAGAGUUUAGACCCAGCAAUGGAACCUAGUAUUCUUCAAAAACGUCAGGUACAUAUUGAACGUGCAUGGUAUACUUAUCCAUUCUUGUAAUUGCAUGAGCAUCGUCAGGCUUCAGUGAUCCGAAACUACUAAUGAAAUCAGACACUCCUUAUGUACUAAUGUAAUUGUUCAACAAUUACCUUUAUAAACAGAGAUCCAAAAUCUAAGGUCUACAUUAAUUACAUUUACACAUCCAUCUAAAGUUACUAGUAAUAAAGUUGCUUAAUUUUCUUUCUCCCAGCAAUUUCUUCUUUAUUCUGACAGGUACGACUACUCUUUUGCAAGAAGAGCGCAAAAAGGGCUAUGCGUAUCACAGCUCUAGAAGUGGUGUGAAUAUUUUGGGAGUUUGGUGUGGAGCUCAUUUCUCUAGGAAAUGCAGAUGAAUGAUGUACGUGACAUAAAGACGUGUAUGAUGCACGAUUUUGUCCAAGUUAUCAUGGGGGAUCAUGAAUGCGCAUCUCUCAAGGUUGGAAAAUGUUUCUGAAGUUCGUCGUUUAGAGUUAAUAGUGGAUAAAGAAUUAUCACCAACAUUUCCUGAAACUUUGAGCAUUUUAAAUAAGUUGCGGAGUGCGGACAAUUAUUGUCCUCAAAGCAAGUUUUAGUUUUUAACCUCAACAGAUUCCAUGUAGUAAGCACUUGCGCGUUUUACAUUUGGGUCAUCCAGUUCCAGGUGUAGUGUUCAGAAUUUCUUCUUUGGAUUGCUAAAUUUAGGUAUUUAAGGUACUUGUACAUUUGCUCAUUAGAUCUUAGAGAACAAUCUAAGGAUGAGCCAUCAGUAGACUUUUCAAUCUGUUGACACUGGUCUUAGGUAAGUGUGUCCAUAUUAGAGGUAUGCUUAAAGAAAUGGGUUCUUUAAGUAAUCUAAGGCACCUUGGUAUCUAGUUUACAGAUAUUAAAGACCUACCUGAUUAUGUUACCAGUCUUUGUAAUUUGCUUAAAAUAUCUUAGAUUUCAUGAUCUGUCAUUUGCGUCUAUUGAGGAUAUUCCUGAAUCGCGUGUAUUCUGUCCUUGAAAUUCAGUCCUACUUCGAAUGCAACCUGUAGGUUUGUACAUCAGUAUGUACAGUUACUACAGUACUAAAUACAUCCUAGCGUGGUUUGGUUUU